RNAcentral lists this small nucleolar RNA (117 nucleotides) under Heterocephalus glaber (naked mole-rat). Its description in RNAcentral is "Small nucleolar RNA SNORD22". The record is from Rfam by way of RNAcentral. Lineage: Eukaryota; Metazoa; Chordata; Mammalia; Rodentia; Bathyergidae.
UGGCAGUGAGGAGCAAGUAUCCUCCUGUCUGGUCCCAGAGCCAGUUAUGAUGCACCCACUGGGGUUACAGAGAAAGAAGAUGAAAAUGUUCUGUAAAAAGCUGUCUAGUGUAGCAAA